Molecule: ribosomal RNA, 864 nt
Filed under: Staphylococcus aureus
Lineage: Bacteria; Bacillati; Bacillota; Bacilli; Caryophanales; Staphylococcaceae
Description: partial 23S ribosomal RNA
Rfam family: Bacterial large subunit ribosomal RNA
Source: RNAcentral
GUAAUAAUCCUGUAGUCGAAAAUGUUGUCUCUCUUGAGUGGAUCCUGAGUACGACGGAGCACGUGAAAUUCCGUCGGAAUCUGGGAGGACCAUCUCCUAAGGCUAAAUACUCUCUAGUGACCGAUAGUGAACCAGUACCGUGAGGGAAAGGUGAAAAGCACCCCGGAAGGGGAGUGAAAUAGAACCUGAAACCGUGUGCUUACAAGUAGUCAGAGCCCGUUAAUGGGUGAUGGCGUGCCUUUUGUAGAAUGAACCGGCGAGUUACGAUUUGAUGCAAGGUUAAGCAGUAAAUGUGGAGCCGUAGCGAAAGCGAGUCUGAAUAGGGCGUUUAGUAUUUGGUCGUAGACCCGAAACCAGGUGAUCUACCCUUGGUCAGGUUGAAGUUCAGGUAACACUGAAUGGAGGACCGAACCGACUUACGUUGAAAAGUGAGCGGAUGAACUGAGGGUAGCGGAGAAAUUCCAAUCGAACCUGGAGAUAGCUGGUUCUCUCCGAAAUAGCUUUAGGGCUAGCCUCAAGUGAUGAUUAUUGGAGGUAGAGCACUGUUUGGACGAGGGGCCCCUCUCGGGUUACCGAAUUCAGACAAACUCCGAAUGCCAAUUAAUUUAACUUGGGAGUCAGAACAUGGGUGAUAAGGUCCGUGUUCGAAAGGGAAACAGCCCAGACCACCAGCUAAGGUCCCAAAAUAUAUGUUAAGUGGAAAAGGAUGUGGCGUUGCCCAGACAACUAGGAUGUUGGCUUAGAAGCAGCCAUCAUUUAAAGAGUGCGUAAUAGCUCACUAGUCGAGUGACACUGCGCCGAAAAUGUACCGGGGCUAAACAUAUUACCGAAGCUGUGGAUUGUCCUUUGGACAAUGGUAGGAGA